ACGGAGCAACGCCGCGUGAGUGAUGACGGCCUUCGGGUUGUAAAGCUCUGUGAUCGGGGACGAAUGGCUGGUGCGUUAAUACCGCAUCAGAGUGACGGUACCCGAAUAGCAAGCCACGGCUAACUACGUGCCAGCAGCCGCGGUAAUACGUAGGUGGCAAGCGUUGUCCGGAUUUACUGGGCGUAAAGGAUGUGUAGGCGGAUACUUAGGUGAGAUGUGAAAGCCCCGGGCUCAACCUGGGGACUGCAUUUCAAACUGGGUAUCUAGAGUGCAGGAGAGGAAAGCGGAAUUCCUAGUGUAGCGGUGAAAUGCGUAGAGAUUAGGAAGAACAGCAGUGGCGAAGGCGGCUUUCUGGACUGUAACUGACGCUGAGGCAUGAAAGCGUGGGGAGCAAAC
Molecule: ribosomal RNA, 396 nt
Filed under: uncultured bacterium
Lineage: Bacteria
Description: bacterial SSU rRNA
Rfam family: Bacterial small subunit ribosomal RNA
Source: RNAcentral